UUGAUGACAGGGGCGAUGAUGAUCCGGAUGCGGUGAGAGUCACAAACACAAUAGAUAGCACGAUCGAUACGAACGAUGUAAUGUAUGUGGGGGUAAGAACGAAAGAAUAGAGCCCACCCGUGAGCGAAUGAACGAACGAACGUGUGGCCGAUAAUGUGGAUCGUUAUCGUUAGUCGUUAUCUUACCUCGGCCGCGGGGUAGAUUCAGUGCACUGGUGCCACCGCUGGCCAAGUGCGGGCUGUGAUCCUGCCGGGUCCGAUUGUUCAGGAACUCGCGGAUGUGCUGCACGAUCAGGUCGAUGGCCACUGAAAGAGCACGAAAGCAUGGGUUGGGUUUCGGAUUACUUGUGGUUAUCGCAUCUAUAGGGAAUUAUUCGGGCAGCAGGAACUAUGUUCAGGGUAUUGACGGACUAUCCCCAGGUCGCUGCGAGUUGUGGGGCUUGCCUAGGAUGUGGGUUUGACUCUGAACAUUAGACUCUGUUCCGUCCCACGAAAGCGACCAUGUGCCGCUCAAAGCACACAAGCUCAAGUUAUGGUGUUGGGUGGGACACUAAAUAGACCUGGCACGACGGCUAUCCUGAGAGACAUGAGGUUUGCGCAGGCCCUAUAAGCCGCCUGCAAUCAUUACAUAUGACAUUACUGAUAAUUUGAAUUCGAUACAAUCGCCUACGACCUAGGUGGCGAAUAAACAUUUACGAAUGGAAGUUUGGAACAUGGAACUGCAUGUUUAGGUGUAGCAGGCUCUUACAUGAUAAUCUACGAUAAAUUACUUCCCCUGGAACUUACACCUGUACAGGGCACAAAGUAUGGAAAUGUGUGCUUCAAACUACCACCUUCUGUCAAAGUUGUGGCGUCUCCAACGCGUGAUUGAGAGGCAGCCAAUUAACGGAAGAAUGUGCUAACUGAGGAUCAAAGAUAAAAAAACUGAGAAUCAAAGGCUGUUUCUUCAACUAUAGCAUCAACGAGCCGACGACGAGAAAGAUGUGAUGGAUUUCCACUUGCGGAAAAUCAAAAUUGUCAUCGGCGCAACGUUCAGGUAGGGAAGGAGGAAAUGUGCAGAUCGGAGAUCGAACUGGAUAGUCUGCAUACCAUAUCAAGUGACAACAACCAACGAUGCAUAAACUUUGCCGUCUCCAGCGGAAUGGUAGUUUGAACCUUUUUUUUCCUACAAGAA
Armigeres subalbatus is the source of this 1173-nucleotide long non-coding RNA. RefSeq lists it as uncharacterized. The record is from RefSeq and is a predicted model, not a curated record. Lineage: Eukaryota; Metazoa; Arthropoda; Insecta; Diptera; Culicidae. The transcript is spliced from 3 exons.